GCUUCAUGGUGUCGUCCGUGCCUUGGGGCUUUUCCGAUCCUACCCCAAUAAAUGCAGUUGCAUCAAUCUUGACAUACCUGCAUUUAGGAGACGGUCAUAGGUCUUGCCAAUGCCCCAAUGUUCAAAUUUUAAAAAGUGAAACUGUAUUAUUCGCCCGGCGCCUGCUCGCUGUCCCCCCAUAUCGCCCUGAAAGAGGCCGGUCUCCCGUUCGACCUGGUCAGGGUCGACUUGAAGGCGAAGAAACUA
RNAcentral lists this unclassified non-coding RNA (246 nucleotides) under Hevea brasiliensis (rubber tree). Lineage: Eukaryota; Viridiplantae; Streptophyta; Magnoliopsida; Malpighiales; Euphorbiaceae. The record is from RNAcentral.